Molecule: ribosomal RNA, 301 nt
Filed under: uncultured bacterium
Lineage: Bacteria
Description: partial 16S ribosomal RNA
Rfam family: Bacterial small subunit ribosomal RNA
Source: RNAcentral
CAGUAGCCGCGGGAAAACAGAGGGUGCGAGCGUUAAUCGGAUUUACUGGGCGUAAAGCGUGCGUAGGCGGCUUUUUAAGUCGGAUGUGAAAUCCCUGAGCUUAACUUAGGAAUUGCAUUCGAUACUGGGAAGCUAGAGUAUGGGAGAGGAUGGUAGAAUUCCAGGUGUAGCGGUGAAAUGCGUAGAGAUCUGGAGGAAUACCGAUGGCGAAGGCAGCCAUCUGGCCUAAUACUGACGCUGAGGUACGAAAGCAUGGGGAGCAAACAGGAUUAGAUACCCCGGUAGUCCCUGUCUCUUAUAC